Ornithodoros turicata is the source of this 477-nucleotide long non-coding RNA. RefSeq lists it as uncharacterized. The record is from RefSeq and is a predicted model, not a curated record. Lineage: Eukaryota; Metazoa; Arthropoda; Arachnida; Ixodida; Argasidae. The transcript has 3 exons.
CCUGCCUGCCUGUCCCGUAUGUACGGUGUGUUGUAAUCUCGCUUCCGGUAUCACGCGUAGUGUAUGUGCUUACGCACAGAGUCACAAAGUUAAAAAGGCGCUCAACGGGUAACUCCCACGACACCGUACUGCUCCGCGAGCUUUUUCGCAGAAUCCUAUAUACUGUGUUCGCAAUCUGGGAUUUUCCCAGGAUCUUCAUCGUGGAGUAGCGGUGUGGGAGUUGGUAUAGCGUGGGUGGGGGUGACACCCGUAUCUGCUGCUUUUCUGAUUUCAUUCAACUUGCUUCGACCAGAAGAGACCUCGAUCAGGACUAAAGUUCACAAAGUGAAUGCCAGGUGGCGAACAACUGACUGCAAGCACAAAGCAAUUUCUAUGUCAAACGAGUAAUAGAAAAACACUGCAACAUUUGUCACUUCCCCAUCAACUGAAGGCAUCAUCAUCAACCAUGCAUCAACCAUGGCAAAAUAAAAUGUAAUG